RNAcentral lists this ribosomal RNA (400 nucleotides) under phytoplankton environmental sample. Its description in RNAcentral is "partial small subunit ribosomal RNA". It matches the Rfam family "Eukaryotic small subunit ribosomal RNA", at positions 587 to 982 of the family's 1831-position model. The record is from RNAcentral.
AGCUCCAAUAGCGUAUAUUAAAGUUGUUGCAGUUAAAAAGCUCGUAGUUGGAUCUCGGGCGUGGUGUCCACCGGUCGGCCGCAAGGUUUGUUUUACUGGUGCACCGUGCUCUUCUUGCAGAGACGUCUGUGUGCACUUCGCUGUGUGCGCUUACGCAUUUGCAACGUUUACUUUGAAAAAAUUAGAGUGUUCAAAGCAGGCACGUACGUGGCUUGAAUACAUGAGCAUGGAAUAAUGGAAUAGGACUUUGGUCCUAUUUUGUUGGUUUCUAGGACCGAAGUAAUGAUUAAGAGGGACAAUUGGGGGCAUCCGUAUUUCGUUGUCAGAGGUGAAAUUCUUGGAUUUACGAAAGACGAACAACUGCGAAAGCAUUUGCCAAGAGUGUUUUCAUUAAUCAAGA